Molecule: transfer RNA, 72 nt
Filed under: Candidatus Merdenecus merdavium
Lineage: Bacteria; Bacillati; Bacillota; Clostridia; Lachnospirales; Lachnospiraceae
Description: tRNA-Glu
Rfam family: tRNA
About the family: Transfer RNA (tRNA) molecules are approximately 80 nucleotides in length. Their secondary structure includes four short double-helical elements and three loops (D, anti-codon, and T loops). Further hydrogen bonds mediate the characteristic L-shaped molecular structure. tRNAs have two regions of fundamental functional importance: the anti-codon, which is responsible for specific mRNA codon recognition, and the 3' end, to which the tRNAs corresponding amino acid is attached (by aminoacyl-tRNA synthetases). tRNAs cope with the degeneracy of the genetic code in two manners: having more than one tRNA (with a specific anti-codon) for a particular amino acid; and 'wobble' base-pairing, i.e. permitting non-standard base-pairing at the 3rd anti-codon position.
Source: RNAcentral
GGUCUGUUGGUCAAGGGGUUAAGACGCCGCCCUCUCACGGCGGAAACACGGGUUCGAUUCCCGUACAGACUG